CUUACGACUCUCGACAAUGGAUAUCUCGGCUCUCGCAUCGAUGAAGAACGUAGCGAAAUGCGAUACUUAGUGUGAAUUGCAGAAUCCCGUGAAUCAUCGAGUCUUUGAACGCAAGUUGCGCCCGAAGCCUCGGCCAAGGGCACGUCUGCCUGGGCGUCGCA
Molecule: ribosomal RNA, 161 nt
Filed under: Ephedra equisetina
Lineage: Eukaryota; Viridiplantae; Streptophyta; Gnetopsida; Ephedrales; Ephedraceae
Description: 5.8S ribosomal RNA
Rfam family: 5.8S ribosomal RNA
About the family: 5.8S ribosomal RNA (5.8S rRNA) is a component of the large subunit of the eukaryotic ribosome. It is transcribed by RNA polymerase I as part of the 45S precursor that also contains 18S and 28S rRNA. Functionally, it is thought that 5.8S rRNA may be involved in ribosome translocation.
Source: RNAcentral